UGGGGAAUAUUGCGCAAUGGGCGAAAGCCUGACGCAGCGACGCCGCGUGUGGGAGGAAGCCCUUCGGGGUGUAAACCACUGUCAGGGGGGAAGAAUCCCGGGUGUGGAAAUACUGCAUUCGGUUGACGGUACCCCCAGAGGAAGCGCCGGCUAACUCCGUGCCAGCAGCCGCGGUAAGACGGAGGGCGCAAGCGUUGUUCGGAAUUACUGGGCGUAAAGCGCACGCAGGCGGCCUUUUAAGUCCUUUGUGAAAGCCCGAGGCUCAACUUCGGAAUUGCAGAGGAUACUGGAAGGCUGGAGAUCGGUAGAGGCUAGCGGAAUUUCUGGUGUAGCGGUGGAAUGCGUAGAUAUCAGAAAGAACACCUGUGGCGAAGGCGGCUAGCUGGGCCGAUUCUGACGCUCAUGUGCGAAAGCGUGGGGAGCAAACAGGAUUAGAUACCCCCGUAGUCC
Molecule: ribosomal RNA, 450 nt
Filed under: uncultured prokaryote
Description: bacterial SSU rRNA
Rfam family: Bacterial small subunit ribosomal RNA
Source: RNAcentral